UAUGCAAUUUUGUGCUGUGUGUAAAGUACACAGAUAGCAAUUAUUGCAGUUGUUAUGUAAUGUUUAAUAAGUUUUGAAAAAGAAAUAUGAUACAAUACAUCUUACACACAAAACCACAUUGAACAAAACACUAAAUGUUCACUUCAAAAGUACAGGUGCACAAAAAUGUGUGUUCUGCUGAAAAGCAAGUGGUUUAAAGCUGGUGCAGUGCUACAUUAUGAUCUAACAAAUAGCAUAACCCACAUUGCAACAGAAAAGUUAAUACUGGCCAAAUGCAAAAGAAAUAAACUUAACACAUUACAAUUGUCUCAAGUGUUCAAAAAAGAACAUUUCAUUAGUAUUGUUUAAUGGAUCAAAGCAGGGCUACUGCAAACAAGACCAAUUGGUGAGUGCACAUAUUUAAAAGUCGCUGACAGCACUUCAUGCAUAUAGGAGUGAUAUGUGGAGGUUGUUUGGCCUUGAUGUCUGUAAAGUAGUAGCUCCCCAAGAAUUUUAGUCUUGGGGAGUUUUUGGUUCAGUACUGAUAUCAGAAUUCCCAUAGACUUUGAAUGCACCACACCUGCACAGCAGUUAGUCACGGCUCCUCCCUGCUCAGAGCUAGCGUGCUUUUCUUUUAAGGCCUCGGUUUGCAUGGAGAGAGAAACAGGAGAUGUAAUCGGUUGAGCAGGAAGAUUUGCUGUAUUAUUGUGUUGAAGAAUAUCCUGGCUGUUUUUUUUUUUUACAUAGUUGCAGAAUCUGCUGUUACAGCUGAGCGGUUCAUUGUAUGGACUGGACUAGACUCCACCAGAGAUGUUGAUGCAGAAUGUUCCCAAUGUGAAUGCCAUCCGGUUCCCUGGAAGGUGACGCUGUUCUUCUGGAGUUUCCGUAGACAAGUGUCUCUGAUGUGCGCACGGCCAUCAGACGAAAAUGUAACAAUGAGCAGUUCAGCCAAAAAAA
Molecule: long non-coding RNA, 936 nt
Organism: Cyprinodon tularosa
Lineage: Eukaryota; Metazoa; Chordata; Actinopteri; Cyprinodontiformes; Cyprinodontidae
Exons: 4
Source: RefSeq, a predicted model, not a curated record